CGGGGAUGCUUACACAUGCAAGUCGAGCGAUGAAGAUCCUUCGCUGGGGGAUUAUUGGCGAACGGGUGAAUAGCUGAUGGGCAAUCUGCCCUUCUGUCUGUGACAAGGCCUGAACUCCGGGUCUAAUACCGGAUAACACUCUGUCCCUCUUGGGGCGGGGUUAAAAGCUCCGGCGGUGAAUGAUGAUGCCGCUUCCUAUCGGCUUGUUGGUGGGGUAAUGGCCUAGCGAGGCAACGACUGGUAGCCGGCCUGAUAGGGCGACCAGCCGCACUGGGACUGAGACACGGUCCAAACUCCUACCGGACGCAACUCCGGGGAAUAUUGCACAAUGGGAAACUUCCUGAUGGGACGACGCCCCGAGAGGGAUGACCGCCUUCAGGGUGUAAACCUCUUUCGUCAGGGAACACUGUAAAGUGACGGUACCUGCUGAAAAAGCGCCAGCUAACUACCUGCCCGGUACCGCGGUAAUACGCCAGGCGCAAGCGUUGUCCGGAAUUAUUGGGCGUAAAGAGCUCGUAGGCGGCUUGUCACAAUUAUAUGUGAAAGCUCGGGGCUUAACCCCGACUCUGCAUUCGAUACGGGCUCCUAGAGUGUGGUAGGGGAGAUCGGAAUUCCUGGUGUACUUGUGAAAUGCGCAGAUAUCAGGAAUAACAUGUGUGGCGAAGGCGGAUCUCUAGAUCAUUACUGACACUGAUGAGCGAAGGCACGUUGAGCUAACAGGAUGACAUACCCUGGCAAUCCACGCCGUAAACGUUGGGAUCUAGGAGUUGGCUACAUUACACCUCAUCCGAUCAGCGCCUAACGCAUUAGGGUCUCCGCCUGGGGAGGACGGACGCAACGCUAUAACUCCUCCGACUGGAGAGUAGCCCCCCCAAGCUGAGGAUCAUGUGAAUUGAUUCGACGCAACGCGAACAACCGUAACCUGUGCUUGACAUAUACCGGACAGCAUCAACAUGGUGCGCCCCUUGUGCCUCGUAUACACGUGGAGAUAGGGUGUCUUCUUCUCGAGUCGAGAGAUGUGGGUUCAUGCUUGCACCAGCUCAUGUCUUGUUCUGUGUUGCUAGAUGCCCUUCGGGCUGAUCGCGUACUCCUAGAUACUGC
RNAcentral lists this ribosomal RNA (1101 nucleotides) under Streptomyces sp. RNAcentral describes it as "bacterial SSU rRNA". It matches the Rfam family "Bacterial small subunit ribosomal RNA", at positions 38 to 1152 of the family's 1533-position model. The record is from RNAcentral. Lineage: Bacteria; Bacillati; Actinomycetota; Actinomycetes; Kitasatosporales; Streptomycetaceae.